Molecule: ribosomal RNA, 489 nt
Filed under: [Frankia] sp. HSIi8_AKM4
Lineage: Bacteria; Pseudomonadati; Pseudomonadota; Alphaproteobacteria; Hyphomicrobiales; Xanthobacteraceae
Description: bacterial SSU rRNA
Rfam family: Bacterial small subunit ribosomal RNA
Source: RNAcentral
AGGCUUGGAUCCCGGGGGUCGAGCGCCCAGAAUGGGAGCGGCAGACGGGUGAGUAACACGUGGGGAUCUACCCAAUGGUACGGAAUAACCCAGGGAAACUUGGAUUAAUACCGUAUGUGCCCUUCGGGGGAAAGAUUUAUCGCCAUUGGAUGAACCCGCGUCGGAUUAGCUAGUUGGUGAGGUAAAGGCUCACCAAGGCGACGAUCCGUAGCUGGUCUGAGAGGAUGAUCAGCCACACUGGGACUGAGACACGGCCCAGACUCCUACGGGAGGCAGCAGUGGGGAAUAUUGGACAAUGGGCGCAAGCCUGAUCCAGCCAUGCCGCGUGAGUGAUGAAGGCCCUAGGGUUGUAAACGUCUUUCCCCCCGGGAAGAAAAUGAAGCUAACCGGGAGAAUAACCCCCUGCUAAUUUUCUUGCCAACAACCCCGGUAAUACCAAGGGGGGCCACCGUUGCUCCGGAAGCACUGGCGGGUUAAGGGCGGGUAGGA